GUGCAGCAGGCGAGAAACCUCCGCAAUGCAGGAAACCGUGACGGGGUCACCCCGAGUGCCUCCCGAUAAGGGAGGCUUUUCCCCGCUGUAAACAGGCAGGAGAAUAAAGCGGGGGGCAAGUCUGGUGUCAGCCGCCGCGGUAAUACCAGCCCCGCGAGUGGUCGGGACGGUUAUUGGGCCUAAAGCGCCCGUAGCCGGCCCGGCAAGUCCCCGCGUAAAGCCCCGGGCUUAACCCGGGGAAUUGCGGGGAUACUACCGGGCUAGGGGGCGGGAGAGGCCGAGGGUACUCCCGGGGUAGGGGCGAAAUCCUGUAAUCCCGGGGAGGACCACCAGUGGCGAAGGCGCUCGGCUGGAACGCGCCCGACGGUGAGGGGCGAAAGCCGGGGGAGC
RNAcentral lists this ribosomal RNA (390 nucleotides) under uncultured microorganism. Its description in RNAcentral is "bacterial SSU rRNA". It matches the Rfam family "Archaeal small subunit ribosomal RNA", at positions 330 to 720 of the family's 1478-position model. The record is from RNAcentral.